This is a long non-coding RNA of Drosophila guanche, 271 nucleotides long. RefSeq lists it as uncharacterized. Lineage: Eukaryota; Metazoa; Arthropoda; Insecta; Diptera; Drosophilidae. The record is from RefSeq and is a predicted model, not a curated record. The transcript is spliced from 3 exons.
GCUUUUAGCUUAUUUAGCUAUUGUUGGAAGCUGCCGAGCUUUUUCGGCAACUCUGACUCCACAUUUACGACAAUUAUUCUCCGUUUUAGUUUUUGAUAUAUUUGUUUAUUAUUUUACGAAUUUAUACAAUUGAUAGGGGGCGUGGCCGUGAACUACGAUUCGGUGCGUUAAACUUCACAUUAAUUUAGAGCUCGAUUAAAAUAACGGGUUCGCAUUGGACAUAGAAAAUAAUUGGACUGCUCGGAGAUGAGCGGCGAUCGACAAUAUUUUU